RNAcentral lists this non-coding RNA (29 nucleotides) under Mus musculus (house mouse). Lineage: Eukaryota; Metazoa; Chordata; Mammalia; Rodentia; Muridae. The record is from RNAcentral.
UGGUCUGUGUGCUUAGAAAGACUCUAGGA